RNAcentral lists this ribosomal RNA (301 nucleotides) under uncultured bacterium. RNAcentral describes it as "partial 16S ribosomal RNA". It matches the Rfam family "Bacterial small subunit ribosomal RNA", at positions 509 to 807 of the family's 1533-position model. The record is from RNAcentral.
CAGUCGCCGCGGGAAUACGAAGGGUGCAAGCGUUAAUCGGAAUUACUGGGCGUAAAGCGUGCGUAGGCGGUGAGUUAAGUCUGCUGUGAAAUCCCCGGGCUCAACCUGGGAAUGGCAGUGGAUACUGGCUCGCUAGAGUGUGUCAGAGGAUGGUGGAAUUCCCGGUGUAGCGGUGAAAUGCGUAGAGAUCUGGAGGAAUACCGAUGGCGAAGGCAGCCAUCUGGCCUAAUACUGACGCUGAGGUACGAAAGCAUGGGGAGCAAACAGGAUUAGAUACCCCGGUAGUCCCUGUCUCUUAUAC